GACGAACGCUGGCGGCGUGCCUAACACAUGCAAGUCGAACGAGCGGGAGAGAGCUUGCUUUCUCGAGCGAGUGGCGAACGGGUGAGUAACGCGUGAGGAACCUGCCUCAAAGAGGGGGACAACAGUUGGAAACGACUGCUAAUACCGCAUAAGCCCACGACCCGGCAUCGGGUUGAGGGAAAAGGAGCAAUCCGCCUUUAGAUGAGCUCGCGUCUGAUUAGCUAGUUGGCGGGGUAACGGCCCACCAAGGCGACGAUCAGUAGCCGGACUGAGAGGUUGAACGGCCACAUUGGGACUGAGACACGGCCCAG
Molecule: ribosomal RNA, 311 nt
Filed under: uncultured bacterium
Lineage: Bacteria
Description: bacterial SSU rRNA
Rfam family: Bacterial small subunit ribosomal RNA
Source: RNAcentral